Molecule: ribosomal RNA, 996 nt
Filed under: uncultured bacterium
Lineage: Bacteria
Description: bacterial SSU rRNA
Rfam family: Bacterial small subunit ribosomal RNA
Source: RNAcentral
CAGCAGCCGCGGUAAUACGGAGGGAGCGAGCGUUAAUCGGAAUUACUGGGCGUAAAGCGCGCGUAGGCGGCUUUGUAAGUCGGAUGUGAAAGCCCUGGGCUCAACCUGGGAAUUGCAUUCGAUACUGCAGAGCUAGAGUAUGGUAGAGGGAAGUGGAAUUUCCGGUGUAGCGGUGAAAUGCGUAGAUAUCGGAAGGAACACCAGUGGCGAAGGCGACUUCCUGGGCCAAUACUGACGCUGAGGUGCGAAAGCGUGGGGAUCAAACAGGAUUAGAUACCCUGGUAGUCCACGCCGUAAACGAUGUCUACUAGCCGUUGGGAGACUUGAUUUCUUAGUGGCGCAGCUAACGCAAUAAGUAGACCGCCUGGGGAGUACGGCCGCAAGGUUAAAACUCAAAUGAAUUGACGGGGGCCCGCACAAGCGGUGGAGCAUGUGGUUUAAUUCGAUGCAACGCGAAGAACCUUACCAGGUCUUGACAUCCUGCGAAUUUUCUAGAGAUAGAUUAGUGCCUUCGGGAACGCAGUGACAGGUGCUGCAUGGCUGUCGUCAGCUCGUGUCGUGAGAUGUUGGGUUAAGUCCCGUAACGAGCGCAACCCUUGUCCUUAGUUGCCAGCACGUAAUGGUGGGAACUCUAAGGAGACUGCCGGUGACAAACCGGAGGAAGGUGGGGACGACGUCAAGUCAUCAUGGCCCUUACGACCUGGGCUACACACGUGCUACAAUGGAACGCACAGAGGGCUGCAAACCCGCGAGGGGGAGCGAAUCCCACAAAACGUUUCGUAGUCCGGAUUGGAGUCUGCAACUCGACUCCAUGAAGUCGGAAUCGCUAGUAAUCGUGAAUCAGAAUGUCACGGUGAAUACGUUCCCGGGCCUUGUACACACCGCCCGUCACACCAUGGGAGUGGGUUGCUCCAGAAGUGGUUAGCCUAACCUUCGGGAGGGCGAUCACCACGGAGUGAUUCAUGACUGGGGUGAAGUCGUAACAAGGUAACCGUA